GUGCUCGCUUCGGCAGCAUAUAUACUAAAAUUGGAAUGAUUCAGAGAAAAUGAGCCGCUGCUCAAGGAUAACCUGCAAAUUCAUGAAGCAUUCCAUGUUUUA
Molecule: small nuclear RNA, 102 nt
Filed under: Catagonus wagneri (Chacoan peccary)
Lineage: Eukaryota; Metazoa; Chordata; Mammalia; Artiodactyla; Tayassuidae
Source: RNAcentral